UUCAACAAGGACGAUCAGAAGAAAUCUUAG
Molecule: small RNA, 30 nt
Filed under: Arabidopsis thaliana (thale cress)
Lineage: Eukaryota; Viridiplantae; Streptophyta; Magnoliopsida; Brassicales; Brassicaceae
Description: ATSL308060
Source: RNAcentral